UACGUAGGUGGCGAGCGUUGUCCGGAUUUACUGGGCGUAAAGGGAGCGUAGGCGGACUUUUAAGUGAGAUGUGAAAUACUCGGGCUCAACUUGAGUGCUGCAUUUCAAACUGGAAGUCUAGAGUGCAGGAGAGGAGAAUGGAAUUCCUAGUGUAGCGGUGAAAUGCCUAGAGAUUAGGAAGAACACCAGUGGCGAAGGCGAUUCUCUGGACUGUAACUGACGCUGAGGCUCGAAAGCGUGGGGAGCAAACAGG
This 253-nucleotide ribosomal RNA is filed under the name uncultured bacterium. RNAcentral describes it as "partial 16S ribosomal RNA". It matches the Rfam family "Bacterial small subunit ribosomal RNA", at positions 524 to 776 of the family's 1533-position model. The record is from RNAcentral.